AAUGACAUUUCUCAUAUACAACACCUGAUAAUGUCAGCUUCACUACACUAAUGCACUCAUUGCUCUAAUAUCUCAGUCUUUCAGACAGAGAAUGCUGCCUGCCUAAAAAGCAAAGCAAUUUUUGUGCUAUUUAUCAGACUUUGUAUUUUGUUUUCCAUGGAAAAUGGAACUGUCCUUUCUAUGUCAUAGGAUAGUCCUUAUUCCAACAGCACAACCACAGAUGACAUACUCUAUAAAUCUGUGGUGAGAAAUGGACCUUGUCUGAAGGAACUUGCACUUUAAACAUGCAAAACAAGAGGCUGGAAGAAAAAACAGAGUCAGAAAAGCCAGGCAGCAGGAAAAGCUUUUCCUUAGGAAAAGAGCUGAGCCUGCAUGAAGAAAUGAGUGGGCUGACAUUUGCUCCUGCCUUGGAUCCCAGAGUACUAAGACCUGAUAAACAGCCUGAUGCAGUUCUCUGGCCUAAGUGCCACUGCAGUGGGUGAACGAGCUGUGAUGCAGCCUGCAAGGCACCGCUGGCUGACGCUGUAGCCUGGGGUUGUUUGGUAAAUACCAACAGUCUAAGAGAAGUGCA
This is a long non-coding RNA of Passer domesticus (house sparrow), 571 nucleotides long. RefSeq lists it as uncharacterized. NCBI's taxonomy places the organism in Eukaryota, Metazoa, Chordata, Aves, Passeriformes, Passeridae. The record is from RefSeq and is a predicted model, not a curated record. The transcript is spliced from 4 exons.